Molecule: small RNA, 1430 nt
Filed under: Pan troglodytes (chimpanzee)
Lineage: Eukaryota; Metazoa; Chordata; Mammalia; Primates; Hominidae
Description: retained intron
Source: RNAcentral
GGCUGAGGCAGGAGGAUUGCUUGAGCUCAGGAGUUCCAGGCUGCAGUGGGCUAUGAUUGCAUCACUGCACUCCAGUCUGGACAAUAGAGCAAGACCCUGUCUCUUAAAAAAAUAAAGUCUGUUGAAAAGAAUGAAUGAAGGAAGGAAGGAAUGAGAAGGAAACCCCGUCUCAGCUCCUCCCGCAGGGAAGCUGGGGCAGGGCAGGCAGGGGGGGCAUCCGGCCCCGCUCCCUCCCUUACUCUGGCCCAGAAAGCACUGGUGCCAUCUGCACAGGGUGGAGCCAAAGAAAGUGCCCCACUCACAGCAGAGGGAGGCCAUUUGAGGACAGCAGGGAAAAUGGGAUCUCAGCCAUCUAGGAGGGGGCCAGAGAUGUGGGAUGGACACCUAGGAAAUCCAGCCGAGGACACCAGAGUGGCUUUUGACUCUGGUCCCCUGGCUGAAUGCGUUCCCUUUACAGUUUAAAUUUAGGCUCAAGGAGAAGAAGCUGGCAAUCGGCAGGGCCAGUGCUGUAGAGAGGAUGUAGGGUUUCCGGAAAAUAGCCAACACUUCAGCAGUGCUGGCUGCGAGCUCAUCCAAGCAUGUUACGGGUGUUAACUCAUUUCCUCUCCAGCAACCCUGUGAGAGGGUCUGAGUGUUCCCAUCUCCAUUUUACAGAGGCUCAGAGAGGUGCAGUCCUUUGCCUGAGGUCACACAGCUAGUAAGAGGCAGAGCCGGGAUUUGAACCCUGGCAGUCUGGCCCUAGAGCCCCAGCUGUUAACCAUUAGGCUUUAUAGCCCCAGUUAUAACAACAAUAACAAUACUAAUACAAGUGAACCUUCAUUGAGUGCUAUUUAUAGAUCAAGCACUAUUCUAAGGAUUUUAAAGCAUAUUUAAUUCUCACAGCACUCUGAUGAAGGAGGUAUUCAUUUUACAAUUGAAGAAACAGAGGCCUAGAGACAUUGAGUCACUUGCGCAAGGUCACACAGCUGGCCAGUGGCAGAGCCAGCCUUUGAACCUGAGCCUUCUGGUUGCAGAGCUACGGCUUUUAGGCACUGUGCUGAGGGCCUCCAGAAUGACACAGAUGUGGCCUCGAGUUACACACGGAGGCAGGUUGAGGGUGACCCCCACCAGGCCUACCCAAGGCUGGGUAUUAAUAAUCACAGUGCAUACACCAGGCCCAGGGAGGUUGAGCCACUCGUCCAAGCUCACACAGCAAGCUCACAGCACACUCAGGCUGUCAUGCAGCCUGGGCUACCCCCUUAACCCUGCCUGGCCCCUGCAGCUAACAGAGACAUGGCAUCCAUCGUGUCUGAGAUCAUGAUGUAUGUGCUCAUUGUGGUGUUGACCAUAUGGCUCGUGGCAGAGAUGAUUUACUGCUACAAGAAGAUCGCUGCCGCCACGGAGACUGCUGCACAAGAGAAUGCCUCGGAAUACCUGGCCAUCACCUCCGA